AUUUUUCCACUAGGUUUUAAAGGAGUUUUAAUGGCAUAUGGACAUACAAGUUGGUUUCUCCUCAAUAUUUUCCCCAUAGGAUUUUUGGAGGAUUUUUUCCCAUGUGAUAAUCAUAGAUGAUUGAACAAGGAUUACAUGAAGCUUACAAGAAACAAUUGAUCAAGGGGGAGUGUUGUGAAACACAUAAUUAGUAUAGACUCCCUCUAUCAAUACAACCAUUCCAUUCAAUCCAUUCCACUUUUCAUUCCUUAAUAGGUUUUACAUCGGGUUCCAUUCUGAUCCAAUGGAGAAGUCAAUGUGUAUCGUAAGUUUGUGUUGACACCAGAUUUUGACACGUGUAAAAUCAGCGUUAGGAGAAGAAGAGGUUAGAAGAUGCGACGAGAUACAAGGGCGAUGAUUGGAAAUCUCCGAUUGCUGCUACAGUCAAGGAUCGGCCAGUAGAUGCUACAGUCGAGGAUCGGCCGAUUAAUCCUUGGAGUUCUACCUCGCCCGACCCCUGAGGCUUGGGAUCGGACGCGCCCGACCCUACAAGGGAGGAUCUCCGCCUUGCCCGACCCCUGAGGCUUGGGAUCAGACGCAGGGAGGAUCUCCGCCUUGUCCGACCCCUGAGGAUUGGGAUCGGACGCGCCCGACCCUCCAAGGGAGGAUCUCCGCCUCGCCCGACCCCUGAGGUUUGGGAUCGGACGCGCCCGACCCCUCCAAAGGAGGAUCUCCGCCUCGUCCUACCUUAGUGCCCAGGGUCGGGAUGAGUCUGAGCCCUUGACGUGUGGGUCCUGAUCGGUUACCCCUUGCUAAAGAGGUGAUCGGCCGAUUAGGAGGUUGGAAUGGUUGGGCCGAUGUGGGCUUAAAAAGGAUUAUGAAGAUGAAGAGGGGGUCAGCCCAUGAAGCGCUUGAAAAUAGUACGAAUCAUACUUGUAAAUAUUCAUUUUCUGUUUAGAUUUGGGGAUAGAGUUCUAGUCGGAUAAGAAGUUUUUCUGUUUAAAUUUAGAGAUAGAGUUCUAGUCAGAUAAGAAGUCGUUUGUACGGGGCUAUAAAUAAGCCACCCUUAUGGAUCUGUAAACACAAUCAACUCAAUACAACAAACUACUUUUUCCUCGUACUUACUUUCAAGCAGGCGACUUCGCCAAUACCUUUUCUCCUUUUUCACGAGUUCGUACGGGUUGGCGGGGCUGCAUCAACUUGACCUCCGGCCGAUCUUGUAAGUUCCGUUUAUCGAGUAAUUUCUAAGCUUUAACUUCAGGCGCAUCGCUGUCGUUUCAUUUAGAUUUAUUCACCAGUUAUCGAUAUUCACUAGAAUUCUAGGUUUUACCUGUUGUUCUA
Molecule: long non-coding RNA, 1320 nt
Filed under: Setaria viridis
Lineage: Eukaryota; Viridiplantae; Streptophyta; Magnoliopsida; Poales; Poaceae
Description: long non-coding RNA (SVIR_LNC009031)
Source: RNAcentral